This is a long non-coding RNA of Denticeps clupeoides (denticle herring), 1876 nucleotides long. NCBI's taxonomy places the organism in Eukaryota, Metazoa, Chordata, Actinopteri, Clupeiformes, Denticipitidae. The record is from Ensembl.
AAGGAUUUUUUGAGGACAUGAGAAAGUAGUGAGCCAGUGGAUAGACAAAUGGGCAGAAAUACACAAGAAUGAGCAACAGAAUGGCACAGAAUGGCAGUAAGGCUACUACCACCCCAGUGAUGACAGAAUGCUUGGUGCAGGGUCAGAAGGCAGGUGAAGAUAAAUGGGGCACCUGGGCUGAGGCUGUGACAGAAUCACUAUUAGCAUGUUUCUUUAUCUCACGCUGGUGCCGUGUUCCCUCACUCCUCACAGACCUCCGAUCAGAAUCGACCCAUCUGCUCUCAGCUUCCGUCACCUGAGAAGAGCCGAGAACAGCGAGAGCCACGGGGCAAACGCACCGGGCCCCGUUUCGCUGCCGUAGCCUCCCCUUCGGCUCCGAUCUCACUGACACAUUAUCAAUACCUGGCUUCGCGUGCACCAUGAAAAAUACAUGCUUUGAAAUGCAAUUUAAAAGCCAUUUAGGCAGUACACUGGCUCAGCGCCUGAAGGGGCCCGAGAGAAGACUUCCCAGGGCGUGUUUUCACUCGACUGAGCCGAGCACACGUGCUAAACGACGCAAGAUGAUUCCAGCGCCUGUAACCGAGCACGUUCUCCGGUUCACUGUUCUCGCGGGUCGGCUCCUCAGGGCAUCUGAGCAGUCUCAGGGGGCCAGCCGGAUCAGCCACAGCCCGGGAAAGCAGGCCCCUGGCAUCUGUCUCAUCCCGAUCCCGCUGCCACCCCCACAGACUCCCUCCACAGGAACCCCCCGCUCAGUCCUGCCAGGCAAGCCGGCAUCAAACACACAGUACAGGACCAACAGAACCUCGCUGUCAUCAGGACGAUGGUGAGAGGUUACUAAAAACCUCUCGAUGUUUCAGUCAGUAAAAUUAAAGGCACGUAACUCUGCUUAUGUGAGCACAGUAAUGUGCACAAAUUGUGCUGGGCAUAUUUUGCCUAAUAAUAAUAUAUUUGUACAGGUCAUCUAAUGUGCUCCGUUGUCAGAACAAAGGAACUUCACUCGUAUAAUUUAAAUCCGACCAGCUUGCUUGUAAUUCAAUGAUGGCUAUUGCUUUUGUUUGACUGUAUUUAUAGCGGUUAAGGAAGCGCCCCCGUAGUCAGAAGGUUGCCGGUUCGAAUCCUGAUCAGCCAAGGUGCCACUGAGGUGCCACUGAGCAAAGCACCGUCCCCACACACUGCUCCCCGGGUGCCUGUCAUAGCUGCCCACUGCUCACUCAGGGUGAUGUGUUAAAUGCAGAGGACAAAUUUCACUGUGUGCAUCGUGUGCUGUGCUGCUGUGUAUCACAUGUGACAAUCACUUCACUUUCAAUAGUAUUUUCAUUUCAUAACACUCACAAAACCUGCAACAACCAAUAAAACCAAUAAGAUCAGCUACAUGUGUUGUGUGAUGCUGCUCCACACAGACCGCAAUUUACAUGUGUUGGGCAGGCCAACACAAUGGUACAUAUCAGCUACCGCAUCUAUUCAGAGGUCUCAGGAAAAGUGAAUUUACAUGAACAGAAAAAGUCUGGAUGCUACGGCAAUAUUUCCCCUUGAGGUACAGAGUGUUGUUGCAGGGCAAGACAGGCCACUGCUAGCUACAUUCCAACACAAGUAUAAAAUAUAUAAUAUAAUUGAAGACAACAACAAAAUGUGGGUAAUAUGUAUGUUUAACAAUAUUAACAAAUGAUACUUUGUACUUUGACAGUUAUUAUUGCAAUUAAUUAUUGCACACAAGCACAAAUGUUACUGCACAAAUCUGCACAUACACAAUUUAUAUUUUAUAAAUAUAUUCAGGGAGAAAAUUUAAUAUUUAGUCUAAUAUUAAUACAAACAGUAAAUAAUCUAUAAAUAUUAAAUGUUAUGUUAUUUUAACCUUUAAUAUACUUUAAGCAUAUUU